UGGCUCAGGAUGAACGCUAGCGACAGGCUUAACACAUGCAAGUCGAGGGGCAGCAUAAAAGUAGCAAUACUUGGUGGCGACCGGCGCACGGGUGAGUAACGCGUAUGCAACCUACCUAUCAGAGGGGAAUAACCCGGCGAAAGUCGGACUAAUACCGCAUAAAACAGGGGCACCGCAUGGUGAUAUUUGUUAAAGAAAUUCGCUGAUAGAUGGGCAUGCGUUCCAUUAGGUAGUUGGUGAGGUAACGGCUCACCAAGCCGACGAUGGAUAGGGGAACUGAGAGGUUGGUCCCCCACACUGGUACUGAGACACGGACCAGACUCCUACGGGAGGCAGCAGUGAGGAAUAUUGGUCAAUGGGCGGGAGCCUGAACCAGCCAAGUCGCGUGAAGGAAGAAGGAUCUAUGGUUCGUAAACUUCUUUUGCAGGGGAAUAAAGUGCAGGACGUGUCCUGUUUUGUAUGUACCCUGAGAAUAAGGAUCGGCUAACUCCGUGCCAGCCGCAGC
RNAcentral lists this ribosomal RNA (505 nucleotides) under uncultured bacterium. RNAcentral's name for it is "bacterial SSU rRNA". It matches the Rfam family "Bacterial small subunit ribosomal RNA", at positions 20 to 518 of the family's 1533-position model. The record is from RNAcentral.